GCCAAUGCAUAAUAACAAGGGGUUACACGUUUAACCCAAUUUUUCAAAGUCUGAAGUAUUUUAAUUAAUUUCAAAUUCCUAAUGAUCCAAAGGUACCUACAUGACCACCCAAAAGAGCCUAAAUUUAAGUUGUGCAAAUCUUACAUGCUUAAUCCCAAGGGUUAUAUAAUUAAAUCCAAAUAUUAGUACAAAGUUUUAAGUACAUUUAAAAUAAGUUGAAAAGUUGAAAUAAGUUGUAAAUACAACAGUCUAAAGCAGCAAGUCUUCAAAGACUUCUUCAAAGCCAAUGGUUUGAAAUUCACGCCCCAAUUCUAGCCUCCAAAGCUGGCGCCGCCCCUUUUCACUCAAUGUCCUUUCACCUUUUGCAAACCUGCAAAACCAAUUCACAAUUUAAAAACAGCUUAUCAAAUAAGCACUUUAAAAAAACUAGAAAAUAAAGGAUGGAAUAAAUAGAUUAACUCUUUACACAAUAAACCAAGAAGAACGUUUAAGAUCACAUUCCAAUAUCCAAACCAACAACCUUAAAUCCAUAAGAUUAAUCAUCCCACAAAAUCUGGAGAAAGGAUAUCUUAUCAAGUUAUCUUAGAACCAACAGUUAGCAUAUAUAAACAACAAAAAAUUAAUUAACAGGGGAUGUUUUGAAAAACUCAGAGGAAAUUGUUGAAAAGAUUUUUCUCUGGUAAACCACAAACAAAAAACAAGACACGCGUUUUUGAUAGAUUCAACAGAAUAACCAAAUAUUCUCCAACUCUAACAAAGCCAAGCAUACGUUUCUGAAAAAAUCGAGAAAAGGACAAUCAAAGACCUUUUCUCUGUUAAACCUAAACCAAACAGAAGAAACGUUUUUUUGAAAUCUCUGAUACCAAUCAAAACAAUAAUCCAUAAAAUCUCCAAACCCUAAAAUUCAAGCCAAGCAACAAUAUCAUUCAAAACAGGAAAAUAAAGGAGAACAAAAAUAGAAGGAGUGGAACUCAUCUUGAACGGGAGAAGGAGCGUCGUCGGCGACCUGCCUCCGGUCAAGUAUUUUUCUUUCCCUUUCGCUUUUAAUGUUUGUACUACCUCGUUCGUUAUCGUGAGAGGAUGAGAUUUCCAAGGUUCAGUUUAAGAAAACCCUUAUUUUAAUUUUUAGGGUUUCCUGUUUUGUGGUUUGGUUGAUCUUUUGUUGGAAACUGAGGGCGGAUCUUUGAUCUUUGGCAAAAAAGGUGAGGUUUGGUGUUUUUUUAGGGUUGAGGGUGGUGGUCACCGGAGAAGACCGUGGCGGCCGCCGCGCGCCACCGCUUCUCCGAUGAAGGUUGCUUGGAGGUGGUGGUGAAAAUUGCAGAGCAAUUUUAUUUUUUCGUUUAGGUGAAAUAGAGAGAGAGAGAGAGAGAGAGAAGAGAGAGAGUGGAAUGAGAGGAAUGAUCUCACUUC
RNAcentral lists this long non-coding RNA (1410 nucleotides) under Lathyrus oleraceus (garden pea). RNAcentral describes it as "Pisum sativum (pea) long non-coding RNA (PSAT_LNC013615)". Lineage: Eukaryota; Viridiplantae; Streptophyta; Magnoliopsida; Fabales; Fabaceae. The record is from RNAcentral.